UAUUGCAGAAAGUGAUGUUACAUCCAAAAGGCGUUUUUUUUAUGGUCUUCCAAGAGCAUUGAAAUUUUCUAGAGCCGCUGUCGGGAGGACAUAGUUUAUUUGGAUGCUACAGGAAGUAUCAUGAAAAAAAGAAAGUGUUUGCCUCCUUUCUGUAUUUACGAACUUGUAGUAAGGAAUCCAUGGAAAACAUGCUCUCCCCUACCAGUGGCUACAUAUUUAACAUGUGACCAUACCACUGCCUCGGUCACAUAUUUUCUGGAAGCAUUUCUGACUGACUGACCUUUGGGCGCAAAGCCUUGCGUUCAGCUGUAAUGCUUACGUGUGAUGGAUCUAUGGUCCUAAUGCAAGCUAUCUGUUUAGCUUUUGCAAAAAAAAAUCUGUCUGACACAAUAAAUCAUAAUUAUAACAUCACUUCGGGGAAAGGAAACAAGGAAGACUUCGAGGUUCCAAUUCUUCACAGAUGCCUUAGUUAUGUUAUGAAGAAUGCCAAGGAGAUCUGUAAAAAGUAUGCACCAAAGAACUACCAUCUUGCAAUUCACACUGUUGGAGUCUUCACUACUGCAACGUCCUUAAAAGACCUCAGUGACAUGGUUCGAAGUGCUGUUCGAAGUUAUAGAUGCAGAAAGCCAAUGUUGAUGUUGAUGGCAAUGCCAGAAACUCAAAAGCUGAUGAGGACCUAAAGGUUUGAUUCAGCUGGCGCCAGUGGGAUAGCCGCAUGAGUGAAGAUGGUGAAUGUUUGGGUUUAGUGCGAACAACUGCAUCCAAUUUUUGCAGUUGGUAUAAUGUCCAUCACUGGUCACCAAUUAUCUCAGUUCCCAUUGUUCUUCUCCAAGAUGUUAUCCAUAUUGCAGAGCCAUGAGCUUCUCCGAGAUCUUAUCCAUACUGCGUUCAAAACACAGUCUGAGUACUCACAGCCCUGCCAAUCGUCUAUCAAGUCGGCCAGCCUUAUGGGAUUUUGAACAGCUGUAGCAGCUUCUUGUUCUUCGAUAAGCCAGGUCCAAGCCAGCUCCAAUCAGCCCGAACUCUGUUAUCGUGGUUCCUAAUACAUAGAUAGAUGUCGUUCAAUGUCCUCCAUCGAGUGUCGUUAGACGAUGCAACCGACCAUCGAGUAUCCGGCAGCAAACGUCUCUGCAGGACAAUUGGAUCAAAUCCAUAUUUCUUUAGGCUUUAGAGGACAAGACUGAGAAACUCUUUGAGGGUUAGAGUUAGACAAGACUAGACAAACACAUAGAAGCAGCAGGGAAGCCAAGGGAGGGAGAGGGGGAAAGAUGCAUCCACCUCCUCCGAGAGCCAAAAUAGAU
This is a long non-coding RNA of Pundamilia nyererei, 1301 nucleotides long. RefSeq lists it as uncharacterized. Lineage: Eukaryota; Metazoa; Chordata; Actinopteri; Cichliformes; Cichlidae. The record is from RefSeq and is a predicted model, not a curated record. The transcript has 3 exons.